AGUAUCACCUCAAAUGCUUAUUUACAAUGUAAGUUUCUGUGGCCUGACCUCAAACUUGACAAAUGGCAUCAGAACUUUGGGAUUGGGGUGGACAUCAUCUAGGGAAUAUGAAUAUUCCCAUUUUUAUGAUAAUUUUUUAGAACCUAGUAUUUAAUACAAUUUUUUACUUCAUAAGAAUAAUGACACAAAAUCAAAAUGUAUCUUUCUUUCCUAAUUCCAUUUUAAUGAACUGUUCUCACCAUAUGACACACCUAUUUGCUUUUCACUCAUUAGAUACACAGACGUUGUUUUUAACUUCCCUGUAAUAUGCUGACCUAAUUACAUUCUCUUUGGCUCUUCUCCCACAUCCUCUGAUGUUUUCCCCUCAGAAUACAAACACAGUAAAAUCCCACCAGUUCCGAACCUCCAAGGUCUCUACAAUUUUACAAAGGACUAGAUCAUUAAAUCAGACUUUCAUGUAUCAGAAAUCUUAUCCAAUGUCAAGCGUUAGCAAAAUUUCAGAUACAGGAAAUUAAGAGCCACAGGUGAUGCAGCAAGUAGUCCAGGAUUCCUAAUACAUCUGCCAAGUCCUGCUUCUCUGCAUCAGAUGAGGUUUCUAAGUGAUGAGGGCUUACUUCACUUACAUGGAAGGAACUAACUCAGUUAUGAAAAUCUCCAUUUUAUAUUCAGAAAGUUAUAUAGCUUAUCUGACAUUUUCCUGGGAGAUAAUAUCCCCAAAAUCUAAAAAGUCAUGUUUGUUUAACAUAAGCAGUCACUCAAUGGGAAUCCUGCUAAAAACACUCUCUAAUUUCAAUUUUCCCAAUAACAAAAAUAAUUUAGUUUCCAAGUAAUUGUUUAUGAGAAUGUUUAUAAAAAUAUUAUACUGGGUCACCUGUCCUCUUUGAUUACAGGAGUGUGCCCUCCAUUCAUCACAGAAGAAAACUGUUAUCUGGCCAGGUGCUUCCUUCUUUCCCUUUUAGUUUUAUUCUCCAAAUUUGAUUAUAUUAUUUAUUAAAAUACCUUGGCCUCUCCCCUUUUCUAUCAACUGAAGUCUUAAAAUAUUUAAGAACAACUAUAGCUUACUAUUAUAUUGAUUUUUUUUUAAUCAAAAAGUGAGGAUUUACUACUGUAUUUUACAAUAUUCUCUCAAAGCAAGCAAACCUUUUUUUUUUUCCUUGGAAUUUACACCAAGACCUGAAAAAAUCCAAGGGAACAAAUUUGUUUUUUUUUACUUUAGGGACACCAUUGAGCUUCAAACAGUCUGUGUUUCCAUUCUUGCUAUACUUUCCACACCUAGACAAGUAUUCUGUGUAUCUGUGUAACGACCCCAAGUUGGCCUUACAUUACCUUCGAACUUUCUCUAUAUUUUUUCAUACCCUAAUAGAAUUUAUUUUUGAUACUUGUUUAUGUUUCUCACUCUUUUCUGGGCCUCCAAGAACUAAAAUCAGUCCUUGACCAGCAGCUUGCAAGAAACCAGGCACCUAAACCACACGGCCAACAGGGAAACUCUGCCAACAAGUGAGCAUGGAAGAGAACCUCAGACUUCAGGUGAUACCGCAGUUCUGACUCACACCUUUAUUUCAGUCUGAGGGAGGAGGCUGACAUCUGGGUCUUAGUUGGCACAUCAGAAGGAUGGAAUUCAGGAAUAACUGUCCCCUUUCCAUAUAAGGCACGGACCUUGGGGUCUGAUCCUCAUUGUCACCUUUUGGAAAAUGAGUAUGAUUGUCUCCAUGAUCCACAUCUAAGAGGCUACGUGCCAUAGAUGCAAAGAUAUCCUGGGAAGUUUUAAAGAAAGGUGGAUACAUCACCAGCGAAAAUAAAGAGAGUUGAAGAUCACUUCUCUUUAAUCAUUGAAAGUCUCCAUAUAUUUCUGGGGUAUAAAAGGGGUAUCACCUUUACCUCAGUCAGGGGAAAUGGUUAAUGGGAAAUUCCAUUAAUUGCUUAGUGUAUGGGUCAAGGGAAAUCAGGUAAAACAGUUCAUAAAUUAAACCUUUUCCCUUCACCUUUUUUCUUUGUA
Manis pentadactyla (Chinese pangolin) is the source of this 1996-nucleotide long non-coding RNA. RefSeq lists it as uncharacterized. The record is from RefSeq and is a predicted model, not a curated record. The transcript has 3 exons. NCBI's taxonomy places the organism in Eukaryota, Metazoa, Chordata, Mammalia, Pholidota, Manidae.